Molecule: ribosomal RNA, 1235 nt
Filed under: Salmonella enterica
Lineage: Bacteria; Pseudomonadati; Pseudomonadota; Gammaproteobacteria; Enterobacterales; Enterobacteriaceae
Also listed under: 1 other name
Description: partial 23S ribosomal RNA
Rfam family: Bacterial large subunit ribosomal RNA
Source: RNAcentral
UGAAGCAACAAAUGCCCUGCUUCCAGGAAAAGCCUCUAAGCAUCAGGUAACACGAAAUCGUACCCCAAACCGACACAGGUGGUCAGGUAGAGAAUACCAAGGCGCUUGAGAGAACUCGGGUGAAGGAACUAGGCAAAAUGGUGCCGUAACUUCGGGAGAAGGCACGCUGACACGUAGGUGAAGUGAUUUACUCAUGGAGCUGAAGUCAGUCGAAGAUACCAGCUGGCUGCAACUGUUUAUUAAAAACACAGCACUGUGCAAACACGAAAGUGGACGUAUACGGUGUGACGCCUGCCCGGUGCCGGAAGGUUAAUUGAUGGGGUCAGCGUAAGCGAAGCUCCUGAUCGAAGCCCCGGUAAACGGCGGCCGUAACUAUAACGGUCCUAAGGUAGCGAAAUUCCUUGUCGGGUAAGUUCCGACCUGCACGAAUGGCGUAAUGAUGGCCAGGCUGUCUCCACCCGAGACUCAGUGAAAUUGAACUCGCUGUGAAGAUGCAGUGUACCCGCGGCAAGACGGAAAGACCCCGUGAACCUUUACUAUAGCUUGACACUGAACAUUGAGCCUUGAUGUGUAGGAUAGGUGGGAGGCUUUGAAGUGUGGACGCCAGUCUGCAUGGAGCCGACCUUGAAAUACCACCCUUUAAUGUUUGAUGUUCUAACGUGGACCCGUAAUCCGGGUUGCGGACAGUGUCUGGUGGGUAGUUUGACUGGGGCGGUCUCCUCCUAAAGAGUAACGGAGGAGCACGAAGGUUGGCUAAUCCUGGUCGGACAUCAGGAGGUUAGUGCAAUGGCAUAAGCCAGCUUGACUGCGAGCGUGACGGCGCGAGCAGGUGCGAAAGCAGGUCAUAGUGAUCCGGUGGUUCUGAAUGGAAGGGCCAUCGCUCAACGGAUAAAAGGUACUCCGGGGAUAACAGGCUGAUACCGCCCAAGAGUUCAUAUCGACGGCGGUGUUUGGCACCUCGAUGUCGGCUCAUCACAUCCUGGGGCUGAAGUAGGUCCCAAGGGUAUGGCUGUUCGCCAUUUAAAGUGGUACGCGAGCUGGGUUUAGAACGUCGUGAGACAGUUCGGUCCCUAUCUGCCGUGGGCGCUGGAGAACUGAGGGGGGCUGCUCCUAGUACGAGAGGACCGGAGUGGACGCAUCACUGGUGUUCGGGUUGUCAUGCCAAUGGCACUGCCCGGUAGCUAAAUGCGGAAGAGAUAAGUGCUGAAAGCAUCUAAGCACGAAACUUGCCCCGA